Molecule: non-coding RNA, 29 nt
Filed under: Rattus norvegicus (Norway rat)
Lineage: Eukaryota; Metazoa; Chordata; Mammalia; Rodentia; Muridae
Source: RNAcentral
UCAAAUAUUGAGUAGAAUUCAGAUGCAGC